AGGCAUCGAUGGAUAGGGGUUCUGAGAGGAAGGUCCCCCACAUUGGAACUGAGACACGGUCCAAACUCCUACGGGAGGCAGCAGUGAGGAAUAUUGGUCAAUGGGCGCUAGCCUGAACCAGCCAAGUAGCGUGAAGGAUGACUGCCCUAUGGGUUGUAAACUUCUUUUAUAUGGGAAUAAAGUGCAGUAUGUAUACUGCUUUGCAUGUACCUUAUGAAUAAGGAUCGGCUAACUCCGUGCCAGCAGCCGCGGUAAUACGGAGGAUCCGAGCGUUAUCCGGAUUUAUUGGGUUUAAAGGGAGCGUAGGCGGGUUGUUAAGUCAGUUGUGAAAGUUUGCGGCUCAACCGUAAAAUUGCAGUUGAUACUGGCAUCCUUGAGUACAGUAGAGGUAGGCGGAAUUCGUGGUGUAGCGGUGAAAUGCUUAGAUAUCACGAAGAACUCCGAUUGCGAAGGCAGCCUGCUGGACUGUAACUGACGCUGAUGCUCGAAAGUGUGGGUAUCAAACAGGAUUAGAUACCCUGGUAGUCCACACAGUAAACGAUGAAUACUCGCUGUUUGCGAUAUACAGUAA
Molecule: ribosomal RNA, 571 nt
Filed under: uncultured bacterium
Lineage: Bacteria
Description: bacterial SSU rRNA
Rfam family: Bacterial small subunit ribosomal RNA
Source: RNAcentral